AUGUAAAGCCUAGAAACAUGCAUGAUGACAAACCCCAUAGACCAAGACUUGGCCAUGCAAUCACCAAACUCCACCUCACCUCUUCUUUGACUUUCUCAAACAAAUAGAACAUCCAAGAAGCUCCUUACUUCUCCAUUUCCUACGGGUAAACACCCAAGUCUGAAAUUUCAGCUUACUUUACUCUCUUUUUCUCUUAAGAAAAGUGCUAGGAAGCUCCCUUGAGUCUUCCUCUCAAGUCCACCGGUUCACACACCAAAAGAAAGACAAAACCCCACCCAAAAGUCUUCCUCUUAUCCUAUUUUUGCUGGCUGCCUCAGACAGAAAGUCCAGCAACAAGAAGGAAGUUUCUUCAACUCUCUUAAGCUCUCUACCUCUCAUACUUUCUGGUCCAGCCACAAGGAAAGGAAAAUCCUUUCAUGUGUUACCAGUAGCCAAGUCUAAUCUCCUUCGACUUUAGGCUCUCGGUUCCUCUGCUUUCAGGUAAGGGAUAAGUUAUAUGAGCAUUUGUUAGCAGGUUUUAUUUUGGAGCAGAGGGAGCCUUAGUCGAG
Molecule: long non-coding RNA, 548 nt
Organism: Quercus lobata
Lineage: Eukaryota; Viridiplantae; Streptophyta; Magnoliopsida; Fagales; Fagaceae
Exons: 3
Source: RefSeq, a predicted model, not a curated record